Molecule: ribosomal RNA, 200 nt
Filed under: Staphylococcus aureus
Lineage: Bacteria; Bacillati; Bacillota; Bacilli; Caryophanales; Staphylococcaceae
Description: partial 16S ribosomal RNA
Rfam family: Bacterial small subunit ribosomal RNA
Source: RNAcentral
CAGGUGGUGCAUGGUUGUCGUCAGCUCGUGUCGUGAGAUGUUGGGUUAAGUCCCGCAACGAGCGCAACCCUUAAGCUUAGUUGCCAUCAUUAAGUUGGGCACUCUAAGUUGACUGCCGGUGACAAACCGGAGGAAGGUGGGGAUGACGUCAAAUCAUCAUGCCCCUUAUGAUUUGGGCUACACACGUGCUACAAUGGACA